GUGCUCACUACAGCAGCACAUAUACUAAAAUUGGAAUGACACAGAGAAGAUUAGCAUGGCCCCUGCUCAAGGACAACAUGCAAACUCGUGAAGCAAAUUUGU
Leptonychotes weddellii (Weddell seal) is the source of this 102-nucleotide small nuclear RNA. The record is from RefSeq and is a predicted model, not a curated record. Lineage: Eukaryota; Metazoa; Chordata; Mammalia; Carnivora; Phocidae.